AUAGCCUUUCGUGUGCGAUUCUGUGGAAGUUUGAAGGAAGCUUUAACACCUUCAUGCUUUGCAUAUUCGUGCUCUUGGGUGUACUUUGCCCGUGUGGUUGGUUAACAUCAAUUUCGGGCACCAUAAAAUGACUGGAGGAAUGUAGCUUUGAUCUUGUAUUGAAGUGUUAUAGCCUUCGGUAGAUGUGGUGAUCGAGAUUGAGGAUUGCAACGGAUACCUUUCGGGGCUACCUGUCUGAUCUCUGAUCGUUGCUUUGGUGCUGAAAGCGUGCUUAUAGUUAUCAAAGUCGAUGGUCAAUAGGUUAGAAUGGGUUAAAUUCGUUAAGGAUGUUGACGUAAUGGCUUU
RNAcentral lists this ribosomal RNA (345 nucleotides) under uncultured Glomeromycotina. Its description in RNAcentral is "eukaryotic LSU rRNA". Lineage: Eukaryota; Fungi; Glomeromycota. The record is from RNAcentral.